Molecule: long non-coding RNA, 646 nt
Filed under: Homo sapiens (human)
Lineage: Eukaryota; Metazoa; Chordata; Mammalia; Primates; Hominidae
Description: HSALNT0251807
Source: RNAcentral
UCUCCUGCUUUGUAGGAGUUUGUAGACCUAGGAGAUCACAUCUUCUAGGUCUGUCUGGACUGUUUGUAUGAAGCACGUGUUCUCACAGAAGUGUUAGCUUAACCCGGUCAUGGUCGCAGCUUACCUAGACGUCUCCACAGCCAACCACCCGUCCCUGGUUGACUCAUUGGAUUUAUAAAGCCUCUCACGUCAUUCUCGCAUGUCUUAUGCAAUCAAUAUCCGACAUCAAGCACUGAGAUUUACCAGCCACACCUAAUUCUGGGAAAGGCCAAAUGAGAAAGGCAUGUCUCUCACACAUGACGCCUCUCUUUAUGUUCUGUACCUGGUGUGUUAGUUUCCUGUGCCUGCCCUAACAAAGCACCACAAACCAGGUGUCUGCCUGAGAUAGGAAUCUAGGCCAAAAUAUUUCAGAUACUUGUUGUCAGAGGGCAGUAUGGAUGGGGGAAUAGGAUGAUAUGUUCCAGAACUUGGCCUGAGAAGCAAUGCUGUGAGUCUACAGGGGAGUCACAGAGACUCAUUCAUCAAAUUACUGCUCUGUGCAGAUGUGUCAUUUUAUGGUAAGGGAGUCCUUGAGUCCUAGAUGUCCUCCAGGGACUCUGUGUAGUGGAGGGACAACUUUCUAGGCCACAAGACAACUUUUUUUUUU